GACAGAGGUGCCAAGCGUUAGGCGGAAUCACUGGGCUUAAAGCGUGUGUAGGCGGACUUGUAAGUACCUUGUGAAAUCCCACGGCUCAACCGUGGAACUGCUUGGUAUACUGGUUCUCUUGAGCCACCUAGGGGCAACCGGAACAAACGGUGGAGCGGUGAAAUGCGUAGAUAUCGUUUGGAACGCCAAUGGUGAAAACAGGUUGCUGGGGGUGUGCUGACGCUGAGACACGAAAGCCAGGGGAGCAAACGGG
Molecule: ribosomal RNA, 253 nt
Filed under: uncultured bacterium
Lineage: Bacteria
Description: partial 16S ribosomal RNA
Rfam family: Bacterial small subunit ribosomal RNA
Source: RNAcentral